This 1750-nucleotide ribosomal RNA is filed under the name Triticum aestivum (bread wheat). RNAcentral's name for it is "partial small subunit ribosomal RNA". Lineage: Eukaryota; Viridiplantae; Streptophyta; Magnoliopsida; Poales; Poaceae. The record is from RNAcentral.
CUAGCUAGAGGGGGCGGCUGGAGUGCGGGCUAGCGUGCGGGCUAGGUGGUGAUGGGGGGGAGGGGCCGGCUAGGUAGGGCUGGCGGCGGCGGGAGAGGGGCGUGAGCAUGGGUUCCUUAGUCGGCCGCCGGUCUAGGCGGGGAGGUGAGUGGGUUGAGAGGGAGGCGGCGGCGCCUAGAGCGUCCCUUCUGCGCCUGCUCUAGGGUUCGGCGACGAGGAGGAGAGGGCCCUACGUCGGCGGCGGCGGCUUGGUCCCUCUGCGGCCGCUGGCAGCGGCGGCAGCACCUAGUGGUACUGCGGCGGCGGACGUGGCGGUGGCGGCGCCGCAGCGCCGACCGCAACCGCUUAGGUAAGGGUCGCCGCCCCCGAAGGCCGCUCCUCCGCUCGCUCGAGCCCCUCGAGGCCGCCCCCGAACAGCGGCCACUCCGCUCCGGUUCCGCCGCCGCGCGCCCGCGCUCCUCCGCCCCAGCUCCUCCGCGUCCUCCUGCGGCCGGCCACCCCGAGGCCGCCCCCGAACCGCUCCCGCCGCCGCCGGCCGCACGAGCGAACCCUCCUACCUCCGACGGAGUGGCCCCGAGUCCGCACCGUCGUGCCGCAGCCCGGCAACGGCUACCGCGGCCCCGGCCCCGCCACCAAACUGCCAGCUGCUCCUCCUCCACGACAGGACCUCGGUCGCUGCCGCCGACGUCGAACUGCUACGGCCGCAGUUGUCGAACGAAGUCCCCGACGUCCGGCACUUGCCGCAACACGAACGCGCGCUCUGGGCACAGACUAAACCUUUCUUAGUUAGGCCACUUCUUCUUCCGGUUACGUUGACGAGAGAUCGAUCCGUGACCUCAUAGACGUGGGGGUUACCUUGCGAUGCUUAACGACGACCAUGACUUGUACCCCUGCCGCGUACCGUGAUGUUUCGUGAUGUUUCGUCACGGUGUACCCAAGGCCGCGUACCCCUGCCGUUCUAGACGUAGCAGGUGUAGUAGCUGUGCGUCCAUGUGUGUAACUACGAACGUCAAUGUCAAAGUACAGGACUAGGUUUUACGAUGUCCCUAGACUAAAAAUAAAAGCACAACACUAAUAAAAACUUGUAAACACGAAAUCAAACAAUCGAACCUACCUAAACACCGGAGCGGAGUAGUCCAGGCCCUCCUGUUUUCACGAACCGCUCAUCUAUGUACGUCGUGCCCUGGUUCUCUUUUUUUUAAUUUGACUUGCGAGUUCCCAGCAGUUUAAGUCGAAAUCUUGUUUUCAGCGCCCUAUUCGAGAAAGUCAGAUACCUACCUGUCGACUUACGCGUUCUAUCUACUACAAGCCUUAAACCUAGUACUCGAAGGUUGUUACUGGCACGCUCUACGACCUGUACCGCAUGUUCCGGCUACAACUACCACCGUGUAUAUGAGUAGUCGACGGAUGAUGUGCAGUCCCUCCUCCUUCGAUCCCUUGGGUAUAAACUUUGUGCUCUCGUUCCUUUCCUAAUUACCAAUGACUACUUUGGUAAUUAGUUAUUAACACUACUAAUCAACAAGGACUUAGUGUUAAUUAGGAACAUAUUGAGGUACACAACCACAAAACUCACCCACUGGACACUGGAUAAGAUAGGUUUUCUUAUUACCACACGUCAAAGUCAGCACUCACCUCCGCUAUACCGGUGCCUGAUAUAAAUAGGAUAGUUUGGCAGCCAUUGACUUUUGAUUAGUACGACCACCGUUACCCCCGUCGGAAUAUAAGGGGUUACUACAAACACAUUUUACGA